RNAcentral lists this long non-coding RNA (632 nucleotides) under Olea europaea subsp. europaea. The record is from RNAcentral. Lineage: Eukaryota; Viridiplantae; Streptophyta; Magnoliopsida; Lamiales; Oleaceae.
UGAGAACAGGGUGGGAAUGGUGGCAUAUAAACUUGCACUACCGGAUAACUGUCCUAUUUAUCCGGUAUUUCACGUGUCCCAGCUGCGCAAGGUUGAAGAGAAUCUAUAGGUGGUGAUAGACAUUCCAAACCACUCAAAUGAGGAGCUAGAAAUGAUAGUCGGACCAGAGGAAAUUUUAGGGGUUAGACCAGGAAACAGAAGCAACAUCUGUGGUGUUAAAGCCUUGAUCCAAUGGAAGGGUUUACAAUCCUUAGAGGCAACCUGGGAACCGUAUAACUCAUUGAAACAAUAAUUUUCGGAUUUCCACCUUGAGUACAAGGUGAGUUUCGUGGGAGGGAGUAAUGAUUGGCCACCUAUCCAAGUUAAAUACCAAAGAUGCAAUGGGAGGGCAGGGGCAGAAAAGGAACGGCUGGAAAGAAUAAACAAAUAACAGAAUCAGUUAGUGGCUAGUAAUAGUAUAUAAGCAGAGAAAAAGGAGAUGAUGAGAGUCUGGAAAAAUAAGGAAAAGUGGGGAGACCCUGGACCUCUCGGAAGUCCAAUUAUCUAUUUCUUUAUUGUCAUUUACAUUUCACUAUAAUUCCAAAACUUUAGUGCGAAUAGAAGUCUGCACUUGAUGUCAUUACAGAAUUAUU